UUUUUUCUUCAAGUAAGGUAUGUUUUCUUACUUCGAAUACCAUGGAAACUUAUAUUAAGAGAUUAAAAGAGGAGAUCAAUUACUACAAAAAUGUUCUCGAAGAAAUUAAUUAUGACAUUGGAUUUCAUAAGGGUCAAUUACUAUCUCUGUCAUUGGAUAGAAAUUAUAGCUAUAAACGUGAUCGUAAAAGGUGUUCUUUCUUACGUGGUGAAUAUGGAGAGGUCAAACAGAUUUUACUACAUAAAGAAAGGGAAUAUGAAGAUUUACAACCAUCCUUACAAGUCAAGGAAAGAGAGCUUGCGAAAUGCAGGAAAAAACUUGUGCUUUCAAGUGUGAAAGAAUUGAAUACAUAGUUUGAUAAGUUCUCAAAAGUAAAGCUUAAUAAGUUAUCAAAAAUAGAGCGUAAUGAAUUAUUAGUAGCUUUGCAAGAACUUAAAGAAGAAAUUCAAAUUGUAAAUCAAGGAAAGAAGCUUGACGUUGAAGAUGAACAAGAAGAAAAAUUCGAAGAGUAGCUUGAAGAUGAGAACGAGGAACAAAAAGAGCAACCUAAAGGAACAAAGGUUGAAGAGUAUGAGAUUGAAGAAUCUAACGAUUCAAGUGUUGAGCAUUCACAUGUUGAAUAGCCUUUUCCAGAGCAAGAAAUUGAUAAAAUUGCACAACCCAAGCUUGAGGAAGAUAUAUUGGGGAAUGAAGAAGAUUCUAUGGAGACAUCAAUGAAAAUUGAAGAUCCUAUUAAGUUAAAGGGCAAUUCAACUAUUGUUCUAAUUAAUUUUAUCUGUCCAAAUGUUUCCAAGAAUACAAAAGCGAGCGCAAACUUUUUCAAGUUAUUCUUAUUGCUACAGUCCAAGAAAAUCGUACUGUGUUUUCUCCUUACUUGAUUCUUAAUCCUUCAACACUUCAGAACUCGAGGUCUAGUUUUCUCCAAACAGGAGAAAAUGAUGCAGUAUAGAAAGCUUAGAAUUUUAUUUACGAAUUUUAAUUAUUAUAGAAUUAAGAAAUUUAAAGAGUUUUUAUUAUUAGGGAAUUUUAUUAUUAUUGGUUCAUCAUUUCCUAAUUUAUCUUAUUU
This 1066-nucleotide unclassified non-coding RNA is filed under the name Hevea brasiliensis (rubber tree). Lineage: Eukaryota; Viridiplantae; Streptophyta; Magnoliopsida; Malpighiales; Euphorbiaceae. The record is from RNAcentral.